AGGAUUCCCGUAGUAACGGCGAGUGAACUGGGAAGAGUCCAGCGCUGAAUCGCGGCGCCUCUGGUGCCGCGAGGUGUAGCGUACAGACCGUGAGCAUGGGUUGGCCUGCCCGUUCAAGUUUCCCUUGACCGGGGCUCCAGAGAAGGUGCAAGACCUGUCCAACGGGCGGCAGCCAGUCCAUUUUCGCGUGUCUCGGAGUCGGGUUGUUUGGGAUCGCAGCCCAAAGCAGGUGGUAAACUUCAUCUAAGACUGAAUAUGACUACGAGUCCGAUAGCGAACAAGUACCGUGAGGGAAAGUUGCAAAGCACUUUGAAGAGAGAGUUAAAGAGGACGUGAAACCGAUGAGGUGGAAACGGACAGAGCUGGCGUAUCUGGCCUGUAUUCAGCCACGGGCCCGCCGGUGUCAGGGAUGCCGCUCUCCAGAUUGGGACGGUGGCCUGUCUGCUGGUGGGUUUGUGGUGCAUUUGCAGGUGGAGUGCGCCGAGGCGCUCGGGCACAGCGGCAUGAGCCCAGUUUUGAGGCCAGCCUCGCAAGAGGUCUGGUACCCGGACUGGGGGAGUGUUGUUUGGCCUGGGUGUACAAGUGGGGCAAUGGAAUCGGGCCCGGGUGGGUGCCGAGCUGGCAGUCGGCGUCGGUCGCAUGCGACACGUGCCAGCGGUCAGUUCGGUCCUGCUCGAGCUCACAUCUGCCCGUCCUCGGUGUAAAAGCCGGUCAUCUGUCCGACCCGUCUUGAAACACGGACCAAGGAGUUUAGCGUGUGCGCGAGUCAUUGGGCGUUAAAAACCCAAAGGCGCAAUGAAAGUGAAGGUCUCCCUUGCGGAGCUGAUGUGUGAUCCUGGUGCACUGCGGUGCCCGGGCGCAACAUAGUCCCGUCCCGACCGCAUGCGGUGGGGCGGAGACAGAGCGUACGCGCUGAGACCCGAAAGAUGGUGAACUAUUCCUGAGCAGGAUGAAGCCAGUGGAAACUCUGGUGGAAGUCCGAAGCGAUUCUGACGUGCAAAUCGAUCGUCUGACUUGGGUAUAGGGGCGAAAGACUAAU
This 1039-nucleotide ribosomal RNA is filed under the name Rotylenchus goodeyi. RNAcentral's name for it is "partial large subunit ribosomal RNA". It matches the Rfam family "Eukaryotic large subunit ribosomal RNA", at positions 71 to 935 of the family's 3401-position model. Lineage: Eukaryota; Metazoa; Nematoda; Chromadorea; Rhabditida; Hoplolaimidae. The record is from RNAcentral.